Long non-coding RNA from Schistocerca gregaria, 1295 nucleotides. RefSeq lists it as uncharacterized. The record is from RefSeq and is a predicted model, not a curated record. Lineage: Eukaryota; Metazoa; Arthropoda; Insecta; Orthoptera; Acrididae. The transcript has 6 exons.
CUACAGUUCUAAUACAGUUCUAAUUAACAAGACACCUUCUUGCUCAAUCCCUCUAUUUUCUAUUUUUCCUGUCAUUGUCUCUACAACACCCUUUCCCAACCCAAUUUCUACCUCUUACUUCCAUAUUUCUCUAUCUCUGCUAUGCAUUUUUUGUCGCUAUUGCUACUAUGGUUGCCGCCGCUGGUGUUACUCAUCACUUAAAAUAUCAACGUUGAGUUCAUUUUGUUUUUUUUUCUUUUUCUUUUUACUUCAUUCCAUAAGUAUUUGUCUGUCUUACAUCAUUUCUCACAUUUUCGAAGAAAGCUCCAUCAAAUGACUACCGUCGAUAUACCCUCAGAUCUGAUCAAGGAAUUCCAGACAUUCAAGUCGUCUCGUCAAUGGAACCGCUGUUUUGUCAUGAAAGUCAACAAAAAAAAACUCAUUCUAGAGAUAGAGAAAAUUUUAGACAACGUGUCGUGGGAAGAAGUAGUCGAAGAACUCCCCGAUGCCUCUCCGUCUUUUGUCGCCUAUCUAGCUGAAUAUGUCUGGGAAGACGGCCGAAAAUCCUACCCCCUUUUCUUACUUUAUUGGUGCCCGGAGGCCGUCCCUACAGCAGAGGGCACUCUGUACGCCUCAACCAAGACUAUUCUGUGCAACAAACUCAAAAUCAACAAAGUCUUCGACAGUCAAAACAAAGAGGAAAUGACACAAGAAUGGCUCAACAAAAAACUCCAAUUAUUUAAGUGAGAGACUUCUCAUAUUACCCUUAACCACACGAAAGCACGUAUUAAUAAAUAUUGUGUACGCAAAGCAUUUAUCUAUGACCUCUCUUCGAAGUCUCGUAUUGAGAUCGUAUUUCAACCUGCUUAAGGCACAAAAGAACCUGUUCAAAGGGGAUACCGAAAUGCUUGUUUCAUCGAAGGAUAAAACGCGCGAGAUGUUCCUCCAAAACAAGAACGAAACAAACCCUGAAAAGAUUAAAAAAAUGAUAGCCGACGCCAACUCGGCCAAGGACUAUAUCGAACAAUGCCUUGUUCAAGGUGUCAGAGACGAGUCAAAUAACAGUUAUAAGUUGAGAAUUACUGAAAAAACUCACCGAAUUCGCGACCAAUCGGCCAAGAUCUACUGGUAACAAUUUUAUAUUAAUGAAGGGAGACUUAUUUGGAGCCAGUUUGGCCGAAGAGUUUCAACACAUCUAAUCUCUGCUUGUGGAUAGUGUUUAACAGUAUUGUUCCUUUUAAUCUUUGACAUGUGCCGAAAACCCUGUGUGAAUUUACCUCGCUUUAGAAAUUUACAUAUAAUGUACAUAUCGUUUU